GGGCCACUAGCUCAGUUGGUAGAGCGUUGCAUUCGCAUUGCAGAGGUCAGGAGUUCGACUCUCCUGUGGUCCA
Molecule: transfer RNA, 73 nt
Filed under: Candidatus Pacebacteria bacterium CG2_30_36_39
Lineage: Bacteria; Bacillati; Minisyncoccota
Also listed under: 3 other names
Description: tRNA-Ala
Rfam family: tRNA
About the family: Transfer RNA (tRNA) molecules are approximately 80 nucleotides in length. Their secondary structure includes four short double-helical elements and three loops (D, anti-codon, and T loops). Further hydrogen bonds mediate the characteristic L-shaped molecular structure. tRNAs have two regions of fundamental functional importance: the anti-codon, which is responsible for specific mRNA codon recognition, and the 3' end, to which the tRNAs corresponding amino acid is attached (by aminoacyl-tRNA synthetases). tRNAs cope with the degeneracy of the genetic code in two manners: having more than one tRNA (with a specific anti-codon) for a particular amino acid; and 'wobble' base-pairing, i.e. permitting non-standard base-pairing at the 3rd anti-codon position.
Source: RNAcentral